CCCUUAGAUGUUCUGGGCCGCACGCGCGCUACACUGACGAAUGCAACGAGCUUAUAACCUUGGCCGAAAGGUCUGGGUAAUCUCCAAAUUUCGUCGUGAUGGGGAUAGAUUAUUGCAAUUAUUAAUCUUCAACGAGGAAUGCCUAGUAAGCGCAAGUCAUCAGCUUGCGUUGAUUACGUCCCUGCCCUUUGUACACACCGCCCGUCGCUCCUACCGAUUAAAUGGUCCGGUGAAGCGUUCGGACCGUGGCCUUUGGACGGUUCGCCGUCUGUUGGCUGCGGGAAGUUCGUUAAACCUUAUCAUUUAGAGGAAGGAGAAGUCGUAACA
This 327-nucleotide ribosomal RNA is filed under the name uncultured eukaryote. RNAcentral's name for it is "partial 18S ribosomal RNA". It matches the Rfam family "Eukaryotic small subunit ribosomal RNA", at positions 1470 to 1796 of the family's 1831-position model. The record is from RNAcentral.